This 442-nucleotide ribosomal RNA is filed under the name uncultured bacterium. RNAcentral describes it as "bacterial SSU rRNA". It matches the Rfam family "Bacterial small subunit ribosomal RNA", at positions 355 to 794 of the family's 1533-position model. The record is from RNAcentral.
UGAGGAAUAUUGGUCAAUGGGCGAGAGCCUGAACCAGCCAAGUCGCGUGAAGGAUGAAGGUUCUAUGGAUUGUAAACUUCUUUUGUCCGAGGGUAAAAAAGGCCACGUGUGGCUUCUUGCAAGUAUCGGACGAAUAAGCAUCGGCUAACUCCGUGCCAGCAGCCGCGGUAAUACGGAGGAUGCAAGCGUUAUCCGGAUUUAUUGGGUUUAAAGGGUGCGUAGGCUGUUUGUCAAGUCAGAGGUGAAAGGCCGCAGCUCAACUGUGGAAUUGCCUUUGAUACUGGCAGGCUUGAAUACUGUUGCCGUGGGAGGAAUGAGUAGUGUAGCGGUGAAAUGCAUAGAUAUUACUCAGAACACCGAUUGCGAAGGCAUCUCACGAAGCAGACAUUGACGCUGAGGCACGAAAGCGUGGGGAUCAAACAGGAUUAGAUACCCUGGUAGU